GCUCCAGAGGAUAGCUCAGUUGGUAGAGCAUGAGACUCUUAAGCUCAGGAUCAUUCGUUCAAGUCCCAUGUUGGGUG
This is a non-coding RNA of Podarcis lilfordi (Lilford's wall lizard), 77 nucleotides long. The record is from the annotation of a GenBank genome assembly. NCBI's taxonomy places the organism in Eukaryota, Metazoa, Chordata, Lepidosauria, Squamata, Lacertidae.